This 47-nucleotide small RNA is filed under the name Staphylococcus aureus. Its description in RNAcentral is "HMPRFS0000_1098". The record is from RNAcentral. Lineage: Bacteria; Bacillati; Bacillota; Bacilli; Caryophanales; Staphylococcaceae.
CACGUCAAUAAAAUUAUCCCUAGGUUUUUAAAAAUUGUACAUGUUUA